GUGUGUGGGCAGAGGCUGAGGGUGUGUGCUGCACUCUAUCAUACCAGACACCCUCACAGCAGAAGUGUUUGAGAAAUUAUUUGGAAUUCUUGUGAAAUUUUUCAGCAUCGAAGCAUAAUCAGGCUGAACUCUCAGUGACCCUUUCCCUAAAAUCUCUCAUUAUCUCUUGACACUCGGCUCAGUCAUCUCAUCUGUCGUCCCUGGGUCGGACGUUUUUGUAAUUGGGUGUUUUCUUUGUGGUUUCUACACACAGAGUGUGUCUUUGGUUAACAGUAACUUUGAGCUUUCCAGCGGCUCUUCCUGGCAGGAUAUGGAACAAUCAUCCAGCACACCAAACAAACCUUUUUGUUUUUACCUCCCAUUGUAUUGUGAUUUAACCUCCAAUAAGAAAGAAGUGGAAGACUACCGUCUUUCUUACAUUGCACAACCCUGUUUUACGCACUUUACUCUCUUUGUAACAUCAGGUUGUGUCGGCUCUAAGGUGAAUAUUAAAUUAGAAAAUGGCUUCUGGUACUUUAACAUAGUGUCAAGAAAAACAGCCAUGGUGUGAUAACAUUCAGGACUCGCUUAUAGGAUUGUUACAAUCUUAGCUUUAUGAAUUCACUGGGACUCAGAGGGUACAAAAAUACUGAAAGAGUCACCUUUUUAUAUUUAAAACUUAGAUUAACCACUUUCAAAAAAGCCCCACCUGCAACUCAAACUAAUCGGCACUGGAUGGUAGGGAUGAGAAUCGAUAACUGGUUCCCAGUGAUUUGAUUCCUAAGAAAUGUUUGUCUGCCUCCUUAACAAUUCUGCUUAUCGGUUCCUCUUACAUGUUUUGGUUCAGAACUUUCCAGCAUGGUGUCGCGGCAAAAGCACUCUAGAGUUUGGCUGUAUUUUACACAAAAAGAUGAUACCGGGGCUACUUGCAACACAUGCAAAACUUUAAUUCCAUUGAAGGGGGAAAUACUUCCAAUAUGCAAUUAAUUUGCGGAAGUGUAAUAUGUUUGAUACACUACUUAGCAAAGGCGAGACUGGUACAGGCAAAAGCAGGAGCAGAGCUAAUGUCUCGGUGUCAUUUGCUUUAAAUGCUUAGGGUAACGUUUAACUUCUCCAGGUCCUGUUUGUUGUGUAGAUGUUAGCGCCAUGUUAACCCCUUUUCACUAUAUAAGUACUCUCCAUCUACUUAAAUCACAUUUACAUGACGAUGACUAGCUCUCACGCUGGCUCAGAGGCUGCAGCGAGUAGCUCUUGUACACCUUUGGCAGCUCCUUUCAUCGAGGCAUGGAAGAGUAAAAUGACAGCGGCGAAGAUAAAUAAAGGCUGAAGUAACAGGUCAAAUUGUUACAGAUGGAUUGAACAAAUGUAGCACUGAAACACUAGGCCAAGAGUCCAGCCUGACACCAAAAGUUAAGUGUUUUUCAUCACUAGUGUAAAUAUGAUGUUUAAGUUCUUCCCAUACUCACCAACUCUCAGUCUGUCUAUACGGCAAAGUGAAAGUUUGAGGGAGAGCUCCUGUGUGGUUGGCAAAGCUUAAACCAGUGAGUUCAUGUGAUUCUAUUUCUGUACGGGCUGUACUGUUAAAUAUUUUAUAGGCCUGUUAUACUAUAGGGGAGUCAGCUGAGGCUGAAUGGUAUUUAAAAAACAGGGAAAAUGUGCAUUUAUGUUAACACUGAGCUUUUCCAUUCGAAACAGUGAUUACCUCUUCAGGUUUUGAAAGUAUGUGCAGUUCUGUCACUUGGAUCAUAAUCACCAUGGAUACGAUGUGCAAACUUGAUCAGGCGAUUUAACUGGGCUGUUGUCCUUGUUCCAGGUCUAUUUUUAAAGUGUGUGAAUUUACUUUGGGAGUUGAUUAAGAUUCUGAUAUUUACUUUUUACCAGCAUUAUCCAGACCAGCUGUGUACAAACAUUAAGAGAUGACAUGCAGGAACGAAACUCUCACUUCACUUUACGCUGCUUUCAGUUUCCAGACAGUUAGCACAGUUUUCCAUGUGAUGGCAACAAACAUUAGACAUACUGAACAUAAUCUUUGUGUGUGUUAUUCAGUAGCAGUGGUAUCAUCAGGGACAUUGGCUGUAUAUAAAAGCUUUCGCAUUAAACCUCAUCACUUUACUACUGGUGUAAUAUUUUUAGGGACACAAUCGGUCAAAGGCCCUUGAAAUCAUUUAAACCUUAAGCUCCCGUACUGCUUCCCUUUUUUCAGGACAGAGUAGCAGGAACAGCCCUGUUACAUUCCUUUUAAAUAUGUGCUGAGUGAAAGUGAUGCAGCACGCAAUUAGAAGAUCGUAAAUGGUCAUUAUCUAACAGGAUGAUUUACUCAGCCUUAAGGACGUGCCAGAACAGUGCAGCGAAAAAUACUUUGUGAUCAGGGACAACAUAAUGAAAGUCAUCCAGUUUUGAUUCUUAAUUUUAUUUGUUCAUCUUUUACUUGGAACUCCCGUUUGCAUCUUCUUUUCAAUGGACUAUUCCUUUAGCACUACAUGGUCUGUACCAUGUUGUAGUUUUUGAUUGCUUUGUGUCUGUUUUCUUCGAUUUGGGUGAUGUUUCUGUGAUUGGCUUCAGUUGGACAUUAGCCAGUAGGAUUGAUAAAGUAUACUCCAGGUAAAGGUCUUAUUCCCAGUCAGCACUGAUGCUGUAGCUAAUUGAACUUGUAAAAUGAACUACUCAGUGCAUUUUGUCCAAUAAAGACUAAACCUCUCAAAAACAUCAAAUGUUUGGGCAUCAAAGAGACAAAAAACAUGUUGUACAAAAUCACUACAUGGUUAAAGUAAAAUAAAUAAAUAAAUAAAGUUGUGUCUGGCGUGUACAGGUGCAGUAACCUGCCUCUCUCGGCUGCACUGCAGUAAAUCUUUAUACAAGCCCAGAGUCAUCCUCUGAAACAGGUAAUUAUUUCCAGCAUGCCUGUCAUUCUUGAACUUCACUCUACACUGACUUCUGCUGAUCUUUGCGCCACCUCGGGCAGCUAUAAGCUCUAAAGUGGAACUGUGGUGUGUAUAGGGCCGUAGUAACACUUGACAUACAAAGGGUGUGUGAUGAGCAAUGGCCUAAAUCUUCCCAAAACCCAAAACACACAAGCUAGUAUUAUUAACGGAUUAUACAGUUCUGUUGAGUGCCUGAGGCAAAUAGUAGCAAAUCUAGAGCUCAAUAGUUUGCUGAGAGAAGUUACCUAACAUAACUUCCAAGACCAAGGGUGGAUAUUAUGAAUAUGAGAAAAGGUACUUUAUGAGUCAUGUUUGAAAAAUGUCUUCUUCAUAUCACUGAAAUCUGUCCAGUAUUUCUCUAUUAUUGAAAGUUUCUUGUCUUAUUUGUCGGGUCUUGUGUCAGAUAUGGGGAAGCACCUCCAGCCAUGUGCUAUAUGAGAUGGUUACAUUUACAUGAUUGGUUCCUUAUUCUGGGCCUGUUUUUCCUGUGAUGUUAUGAUUAAAACCAUUCUGUUACUGAGAUGUAAAGUAACGACUCAAAGAUGGUGUAAAAACCAACGUCCAUCCAUUUAUUAACUAUGGAAAUUAUCCCAUUCAGGUUGGAGCCAAUCCCAUCUAACCAGCAUUCAUCAUGCAGUUGGGGAUCAAUUUCAUCCGUGCUGUAGGCUCCUCUAUCAGACAUGCUCAAGAAUUUGCACGCAAUGCCUUUACCUGAAAGUUAAACAGAGUAAAUGGGUUGCUAGGAAGCCAGGUAGUAAACAAACCUUGACAAAUUGACCGUUGACAAAAGGCAUAGUGCUGUAAAGGUGACAGUGUUUUCAGUGACCUAAGAUGCAUGUCUUCGGACUGUGGUAGGAAGCUGUAGUAGGUAGCCCAUGCAUGCACAAGGGGACCAUGCAGACCCAGGUUUUUACCAGGAACCUUGCAGCCUUUAAAAACAACAUUGCAAUUAUAUUUAAUAUUCCUUAUGGCUAAUCUCAGAAAAGAUUGUGCAGUACCCUCAAGUAGGCACAGACCAAAACAAAGUCUUGUGUCUGUCUGAAGUAGACACUAACCCCCAAUUUCCACCGCAUCCGGAAUGGCUGCGAAAAGCCCCAAACCGCCGAUCUUAGCUGCUCGUUUCCAUUCAAGUUAAUGUGUCAAUUUCCACCAACUUAUUUCCAUUCCACUGCGGAUCAGCGGACUCUGCAGCCGAUCGCAAGAGUUGCAGCAUGCCGCAUAAAUUCAGCAUGGAUUAACCCAUGCUGGAAAGGAAGUUGGGCACAGACACGAAAUAAAACAAUGGCUUCCUUUCCAAAUAAAACACUAAGUGUUUCAGGCUAAUCGUAUUUCACAUUAUGUAAACGGGCGGAGAGGAUCAAGUGAAAGGAUUUUCGACCACAUUUCACCCUGAUGACACCAUGGAUGAGGGGAAGCUUAAUCAUAGAAGUCCCGAAGUGGAUUUCCUCCUCUGGAUUGACACAAUUGAAAGCUUAUAUGGUCACGUGGCUGUCUUUAUAGUGACAACUCGGUAUCGCGCAAUUGCAUGUGAAUCUGUGGGUUCUUGUGAGCUCUCGCGAUUCCUAUAAUCCACCACAAAAUUCGACGUUGCAGAUGCGGUGAAAACUGGGAGUACUACAGGAGCCUUAUUUGUAAACAAAGCUGUCAAUUAUGGUAUUAUAUCCCCUUAGCAUUUAAUAGCUAAUUAAAGUGAAAUGGGUUAAUUAGAUUUUUUAAUUUUUAUAAAUUUGACCCAUGUCCAACCUGUCAACAGGAGGAGGAGGGGUUUAUUACCUAUACUGCAGCCAAUAAGCUCAAAGGAUUUCUGUGUAGCUGCCAACAAACACUCUACACAGUCUAGUUAAGGAGUAAAACUAUUAGGAGGACAAACAUUUGGAGGAAGAUUUGCUGCCUUAAAGAUUAUUAUUAUUAUUAUUAUUUUGUGAUUCUGGUGUUUUUGUGUUUUAUUCAUCAAGACCAUAACUGAUAUUUGUUUAAUGUUUUAUUGAUUAGUGUUUCUUUUUUAACAACCCCCGUUUUUGAUUGUUUUAAGGUGUCAUAUUGUGGAUUGUCAGCUCCAUAGAGUCACAAGGUUGUGAGUCAGGCUUGCUGUCUCGAGUUGCUAAAACAAACAGCCAUCAAAAUCUGAAAAUACUGCAUCUGUACUAUCUGAAGUCAGUCAAAAUAGUGCUAUAAUUUUGAGCUGUGCAUCAUCUGUGUACGGUAUGUGUUCUUCAGAAACCAAAAGUUUCUUAGCCAUAGCAACAGUAACCAAGCAGGGCGGGGCUAAGCCGAUGAGUAGACAGAAUAAAAUUUCAAUGUAUGGUUCCAACUUUUUUUGUGGUUUUACAGCUCAGAAUGAGACUAUUUUUGAAACCAGUUUGCGUGAUCAACCAUCUUUUUUCCACUAUAGUCCCCACUCCUGAAUAAUAUUUACAGCUCUCUUAGUGCAGUUUGAACAAAUACAGUAAAUCAUGGAUUGGAAAACAAAGCGGUAAAGUUGAGGAGAGGGAGAAAACGCACAUGUUCCAUGGAAAAAACCUGGUCCUACUCAGCUCUGCGGCCCUGCGCCCAGUCUACCCGUGCCCACAAAAAAAAGUUGGCUUCCUCAUUUGAUUUUCUGUCUCCUUCCUCUCUCUUUGAACAGCAGCAUUUCCCGAUGUAUAACACAAAGACUGUACUUGUAGCAUUUGGUGUAACUGAUGUGUGUUUGGCCACAUUUUUUUCAUCUGAUUCACACACAUCUUUUUUUCUCUCUUAACACACACACACACACACACACACACACACACACACACGUACAACAUGUUUCCUCUCAUGUUCCCCUUGCGUGUGUCCUCAUGUGAUCCCUCUGUUACAGCUCUUCCUCCACCCACCGCCCGUGUCACUCUACCCCCAUGCCACACCCACGGUCCCCAUAGCAACGGGGUUUACCACAGUCUAAAGAUGAGUUUGCCAGAUGCAUAUGGGACUGCUGUGGAAAUAGUUUGAGUGCAGUUGCCAUGGAGACGUGGAUAAAUGGAACCAUACAAUGUGUAAUUACUCACUGUAUGGAGCCUAGCUUUGUGUGCGUGUGUUUCGUUUUAGAUUUGCAGUGGUCUUCUCACUUCCUGGCAAUAAACUUAUUCACAGACACUGUCUCCAUGUGAAACCAGUUUGUGUCAUAGUUUUCAGGCUCACUUUUUUAGACAGUGUGUUCACAUGGCGCUUUUUAGCAAAGGAAAUACUGUGUGAUAACCCAAACUGCCCCUCCAGGCGCUAAAACAAAUAAUCGUUGACAGCUGCUGGAAACAAAAAGAGGAAGUCUGAAAAAUGAUGUGAUUUUUUUUUGUUCUGUGAUAAUUCAGAGUCUAGCUUUUAGUUUUAAUCCAAGGGCAA
This is a non-coding RNA of Xyrichtys novacula (pearly razorfish), 6257 nucleotides long. Lineage: Eukaryota; Metazoa; Chordata; Actinopteri; Labriformes; Labridae. The record is from the annotation of a GenBank genome assembly.